UGGGGCUUUCGAAGAUGGCGCGUCCGGGAGGAUUCGAACCUCCGACCGCCUGGUUCGUAGCCAGGUACUCUAUCCA
Molecule: transfer RNA, 76 nt
Filed under: Paraferrimonas sedimenticola
Lineage: Bacteria; Pseudomonadati; Pseudomonadota; Gammaproteobacteria; Alteromonadales; Ferrimonadaceae
Description: tRNA-Arg
Source: RNAcentral